Molecule: ribosomal RNA, 254 nt
Filed under: uncultured bacterium
Lineage: Bacteria
Description: partial 16S ribosomal RNA
Rfam family: Bacterial small subunit ribosomal RNA
Source: RNAcentral
GACGAACCGUGCGAACGUUAUUCGGAAUCACUGGGCUUAAAGCGCGUGUAGGCGGGACGGCACGUCGGUCGCUGAAAUCCCCCGGCUCAACCGGGGAACGGGCGCCGAUACGACCGCCCUGGAGGGACGUAGGGGGACCUGGAACUUCCGGUGGAGCGGUGAAAUGCGUUGAGAUCGGGAGGAACACCGGUGGCGAAGGCGGCGACCUGGGUGGAUACUGACGCUGAGGUGCGAAAGCGUGGGGAGCAAACAGG